GGGUAUAUAGCUCAGCGGUAGAGCACAUGCUUAGCAUGUGUGAGGUCCUGGGUUCAAUCCCCAGUACCUCUG
Molecule: transfer RNA, 72 nt
Filed under: Camelus bactrianus (Bactrian camel)
Lineage: Eukaryota; Metazoa; Chordata; Mammalia; Artiodactyla; Camelidae
Also listed under: 1 other name
Rfam family: tRNA
About the family: Transfer RNA (tRNA) molecules are approximately 80 nucleotides in length. Their secondary structure includes four short double-helical elements and three loops (D, anti-codon, and T loops).
Source: Rfam by way of RNAcentral